UAGUUUGAUCAUGGCUCAGGAAAGUCGUAACAAGGUAACCGUAAGUCGUAACAAGGUAACCGUAGAGUUUGAUCAUGGCUCAGGUGAAGUCGUAACAAGGUAACCGUAAGUCGUAACAAGGUAACCGUAGAGUUUGAUCAUGGCUCAAGAAAGUCGUAACAAGGUUAGCCGUAAGUCGUAACAAGGUAGCCGUACAGUUUGAUCCUGC
RNAcentral lists this ribosomal RNA (208 nucleotides) under uncultured bacterium. Its description in RNAcentral is "partial 16S ribosomal RNA". The record is from RNAcentral.